RNAcentral lists this ribosomal RNA (468 nucleotides) under uncultured bacterium. Its description in RNAcentral is "partial 16S ribosomal RNA". It matches the Rfam family "Bacterial small subunit ribosomal RNA", at positions 28 to 507 of the family's 1533-position model. The record is from RNAcentral.
GACGAACGCUGGCGGCGUGCUUAACACAUGCAAGUCGAACGGAAAGGCCCUGCUUUUGUGGGGUGCUCGAGUGGCGAACGGGUGAGAAACACGUGAGUAACCUGCCCUUGUCUUUGGGAUAACUUCAGGAAACUGGGGCUAAUACCGGAUAGGAGCUCCUGCUGCAUGGUGGGGGUUGGAAAGUUUCGGCGGUUGGGGAUGGACUCGCGGCUUAUCAGCUUGUUGGUGGGGUAGUGGCUUACCAAGGCUUUGACGGGUAGCCGGCCUGGGAGGGUGACCGGCCACAUUGGGACUGAGAUACGGCCCAGACUCCUACGGGAGGCAGCAGUGGGGAAUAUUGCACAAUGGGCGGAAGCCUGAUGCAGCAACGCCGCGUGCGGGAUGACGGCCUUCGGGUUGUAAACCGCUUUCGCCUGUGACGAAGCGUGAGUGACGGUAAUGGGUAAAGAAGCACCGGCUAACUACGUG